Molecule: ribosomal RNA, 939 nt
Filed under: uncultured Hydrogenedentota bacterium
Lineage: Bacteria; Pseudomonadati; Candidatus Hydrogenedentota
Description: bacterial SSU rRNA
Rfam family: Bacterial small subunit ribosomal RNA
Source: RNAcentral
GAGGUUCCAAGCGUUGUUCGGAAUUACUGGGCGUAAAGGGAGCGCAGGCGGUCUGGUCAGUCUGAAGUGGAAGCCCGGGGCUCAACCCCGGAAGGGCUUCAGAUACUGCCAAACUAGAGUACGUGAGAGGUAAGCGGAAUUCAAGGUGUAGCGGUGAAAUGCGUAGAUAUCUUGAGGAACAUCGGUGGCGAAAGCGGCUUACUGGCACGAAACUGACGCUGAGGCUCGAGAGCGUGGGGAGCGAACGGGAUUAGAUACCCCGGUAGUCCACGCCGUAAACGUUGUGCACUAGGUGUGGGAGGUGUCGACCCCUCCCGUGCCGCAGCUAACGCAUUAAGUGCACCGCCUGGGGAGUACGCGCGCAAGCGUGAAACUCAAAGGAAUUGACGGGGGCCCGCACAAGCGGUGGAGCAUGUGGUUUAAUUCGAGGCAACGCGAAGAACCUUACCCAGGCUUGACAUCCCGGGACCACCAUGGAAACAUGGCUUUCCCUUCGGGGACCCGGUGACAGGUGUUGCAUGGCUGUCGUCAGCUCGUGUCGUGAGAUGUUGGGUUAAGUCCCGCAACGAGCGCAACCCCCGUCCUUAGUUACCAGCGGUUCGGCCGGGGACUCUAAGGAGACUGCCGGUAAUAAACCGGAGGAAGGUGGGGAUGAGGUCAAGUCAUCACGGCCCUUACGCCUGGGGCUACACACGUGCUACAAUGGCCGGUACAAUGGGUCGCGAUACCGCGAGGUGGAGCUAAUCCCAAAAAGCCGGUCUCAGUUCGGAUCGGAGUCUGCAACUCGACUCCGUGAAGCCGGAAUCGCUAGUAAUCGCGUAUCAGCUACGACGCGGUGAGUACGUUCCCGGGCCUUGUACACACCGCCCGCCACAUGACCCGAGUCGGGUGCACCCGAAGUCACUGGCCCAACCCUUUCGAGGGAGGGAGGGCCCGAAG